CGGACGGGUGGAGUAAUGUCUGGGAAACUGCCUGAUGGAGGGGGGUAACUACUGGAAACGGUAGCUAAUACCGCAUAACGUCGCAAGACCAAAGAGGGGGACCUUAGGGCCUCUUGCCAUCGGAUGUGCCCAGAUGGGAUUAGCUUGUUGGUGGGGUAACGGCUCACCAAGGCGACGAUCCCUAGCUGGUCUGAGAGGAUGACCAGCCACACUGGAACUGAGACACGGUCCAG
Molecule: ribosomal RNA, 233 nt
Filed under: uncultured bacterium
Lineage: Bacteria
Description: partial 16S ribosomal RNA
Rfam family: Bacterial small subunit ribosomal RNA
Source: RNAcentral